AACGAACGCUGGCGGCAUGCCUAACACAUGCAAGUCGAACGAGAUCUUCGGGUCUAGUGGCGCACGGGUGCGUAACGCGUGGGAAUCUGCCCUUUGGUUCGGAAUAACAGUUGGAAACGACUGCUAAUACCGGAUGAUGACGAAAGUCCAAAGAUUUAUCGCCAGAGGAUGAGCCCGCAUAGGAUUAGCUAGUUGGUGUGGUAAAGGCGCGCCAAGGCGACGAUCCUUAGCUGGUCUGAGAGGAUGAUCAGCCACACUGGGACUGAGACACGGCCCAGACUCCUACGGGAGGCAGCAGUGGGGAAUAUUGGACAAUGGGCGAAAGCCUGAUCCAGCAAUGCCGCGUGAGUGAUGAAGGCCUAGGGUUGUAAAGCUCUUUUACCCGGGAUGAUAAUGACAGUACCGGGAGAAUAAGCUCCGGCUGACUCCGUGCCAGCCGCCGCAGUAA
This 448-nucleotide ribosomal RNA is filed under the name uncultured bacterium. RNAcentral's name for it is "partial 16S ribosomal RNA". It matches the Rfam family "Bacterial small subunit ribosomal RNA", at positions 29 to 523 of the family's 1533-position model. The record is from RNAcentral.